GGGGAAUAUUGGACAAUGGGCGCAAGCCUGAUCCAGCCAUGCCGCGUGAGUGAUGAAGGCCUUAGGGUUGUAAAGCUCUUUCGCCGGUGAAGAUAAUGACGGUAACCGGAGAAGAAGCCCCGGCUAACUUCGUGCCAGCAGCCGCGGUAAUACGAAGGGGGCUAGCGUUGCUCGGAAUUACUGGGCGUAAAGCGCACGUAGGCGGUUUCUUAAGUCGGGGGUGAAAUCCUGGAGCUCAACUCCAGAACUGCCUUCGAUACUGGGAAAUCUGAGUUCGGGAGAGGUGAGUGGAACUGCGAGUGUAGAGGUGAAAUUCGUAGAUAUGCGAAAGAACACCAGUGGCGAAGGCGGCUGACUGGCCGGAUACUGACGCUGAGGUGCGAAAGCGUGGGGGGCAAACA
This 401-nucleotide ribosomal RNA is filed under the name uncultured bacterium. Its description in RNAcentral is "bacterial SSU rRNA". It matches the Rfam family "Bacterial small subunit ribosomal RNA", at positions 356 to 774 of the family's 1533-position model. The record is from RNAcentral.